This 63-nucleotide transfer RNA is filed under the name Glycera capitata. RNAcentral's name for it is "tRNA-Leu". The record is from RNAcentral. Lineage: Eukaryota; Metazoa; Annelida; Polychaeta; Phyllodocida; Glyceridae.
ACUGAGGUGGCAGAAUAGUGCAAUAGAUUUAAGCUCUAUAUAUAAAUUAACGUUUUCUCAGUA